This 1897-nucleotide long non-coding RNA is filed under the name Gossypium barbadense (sea-island cotton). RNAcentral's name for it is "long non-coding RNA (GBAR_LNC003461)". Lineage: Eukaryota; Viridiplantae; Streptophyta; Magnoliopsida; Malvales; Malvaceae. The record is from RNAcentral.
AUUUUUAUUUUAUUUCCAUUCCAUUACCGUGAGUUAGGGAGAAUCUCACUUCUCUUUCUUGGUGAGUUCUCUUGUUUUCUUCAAGUGGAAAAGAAAAAUGUUGGCCGAUUGCAUGUAGGUAAAGCCAUGGUUGUGGCUGCUUAGGAGUUGCUUAUUUUUCAAGAAUUCAAGGUAAAUCCCAUAAGCCUACUGUUGACAGAAUUUUGAGUAGCUGGACCGAAAGUUUUGAUGAGAAGAGGAAAUUAUCUUCUCAAUUGUUUUAUGCAUGUUUUAGUAGCUGGGAAAAAAAUCUUUUGAUUUCGGCCGGAGAAUUUAUUUAUUUUGGUGAAUGUUUCCAUUUUUUUUUUUUUUUAACUUGGGGCUGGUUAUGUUUAGAUAAAGAGGUAGGUGAAGAGCAUUGUGGGAAAGACAAGGAACAGGCUUGAGGAGGUAGGAAGCAGCUUGGGAAAAUUUUUGUGUGUUUUCUUUGAAAUAGUUUCUGUUUAUUUCAUGUUCAAUUUUUUAUUAGGUCAACAUGGAUGAUUCAGUUGUCUAAACUGAUGCUUAGGUGCUGUCCAUUUUUGAGCAUAUCAAUGCUGUCCAAAUUAGUGCUUAAAUGCUGUCUAUUUUUGUACAAAUUAAUGUUGUCCGAGUAUUGUUACUGCUGUCCAAAUACUUGUGAAUUAAUGACGUAUGAAUGUUGAAAUCAAUGCUGUCCGAAUGUUAUUACUACUGUCAAAAUGACUGUGAAUUUAUGUUGUCUGAUUUUUUAUUUAUUUUUGGAAUUAAAGUUGUUAGAAUUCAUGGUAAAUUGAAGAGUUGAAGCUGUCCAAAACAGGACAUGUUUCCUAUGAUUACCAAGUGUAAAUGCUUGUUUAAUUGGAGUAUAAAUGCUGUCCAAAACAGGGUAGGUUACCUAUGUUUUGUCUUAUUUUAAAUGCUUAUUGUCCAAAUGUGUUAAAUUCACUGUCCAAAUGUGUUGUCAUUUAUGUGGUUUUAUUUAACUAACUAAGAUGUUCAAAUGUGUUGAUUUUCACUGACCAAUUGUGAUGCUGUUAUGCUGCCAUAUUGUGUGAUUUAGUUGCUAUCCAAAUGGUGGAAAACUUAUUGACUUAAAUGCUGAAUGUUGCUGUUGUUAUUGACUUAAAUGCUAAAUGUUGCUGUUGUUAUUGACUUAAAUGCUAAAUGUUGCUGCUGUCCGAAUGGAGCAAUAAUUAUUGAUUUAAAUGCUAAAUGUUGCUGCUGUUUAUUGACUUAACUGCGAAAUGUUAAGUGCUGCUCGAAAUAAAAUAGGGGUUGUCCGAAUGCUGAAAUUUCGGCAUUUAUCUUUUGGUUAUAAUGUGUCUUGCCCCUGCUGUAAAUAGAAUAUUUAUGCUGAUCAUAUGCCUAAGCUUAGCUAUUAAUGAAUAUUAGUUAUGUUGAUGAUGGAUCCUAAUUAUGCUAGUUUCGGUUGCAUUUAUGCUGUCAAAGUUGAGAACUAUUAAUUGAGAUUAUUUCCGGUUUAAUGCUUGUGUUAUUAGGUUUGAACCCGGGGUGUUGGCUUGAUGGUUAGGGUGUUCAUCGCCCCAGGUGUGGCCUGGGUUUAAGUCACGCUAGUCUCGUUGUUAUUAUGGCUCUGCUCUCUUCUUGUAAUUCACCAAAAUAAAAUGGCGUAUCUUGGUGCCAAAACUGCCAAUUAAGGCAUAGUAAUAAAAUUGGUUUUGUAUAGGAUGUACAGAUGAAUUGUUGAAGAAUUUAGCUAGUUUUUUUCUUUUAUAGGUGUAUGAGGAUAGCUAAAGGUCACCAGUAGGGAAUGUUGAGUUUGGACAUGAAAUUUGAUACUUAAUGGCUCAAUCAUGCAUUCCACGGCCGUGUGACCCAUGUUUCGUAUAAUUUCCUUAUUCUUUUAAAAAUGUUACAAUUUAACCCUUGUUUGUUC